UACGGAGGGGGUUAGCGUUGUUCGGAAUUACUGGGCGUAAAGCGCAUGCAGGUGGAUAGUUAAGUCAGAUGUGAAAGCCCGGGGCUCAACCUCGGAACCGCAUUUGAAACUGGCUAUCUAGAGUACUGUAGAGGGGGGUAGAAUUUCAGGUGUAGCGGUGAAAUGCGUAGAGAUCUGAAGGAAUACCAGUGGCGAAGGCGGCCCCCUGGACAGAUACUGACACUCAGAUGCGAAAGCGUGGGGAGCAAACAGG
This 253-nucleotide ribosomal RNA is filed under the name uncultured bacterium. RNAcentral's name for it is "partial 16S ribosomal RNA". It matches the Rfam family "Bacterial small subunit ribosomal RNA", at positions 524 to 776 of the family's 1533-position model. The record is from RNAcentral.